This 273-nucleotide long non-coding RNA is filed under the name Mytilus galloprovincialis (Mediterranean mussel). Lineage: Eukaryota; Metazoa; Mollusca; Bivalvia; Mytilida; Mytilidae. The record is from RNAcentral.
CAUAUAUCCCUGCACUAUUCACGUUCAUCAUGCGUCUUAGUGAUUGUUGUUGUGUAGGAUAAACUAGAAAUAAUGUUUGUUCUGUAGGUACUUAAUCAAAAUUCCUCAAAUACAGCAGUGCUGAUUGUCAAUUAUGAGAAUUCAAUUUGCCAAAUAAUUCUUGCAAUAUAUCAUCAUAGUUUUUCAACCGAUUGCUCAAUAUUGGAAAGGAAAUGACGAUGCCCCUAAACUGGAAUGAUGUUCACUAAAACCAGAGUUUUUAACGGAAAUGCA